This 406-nucleotide ribosomal RNA is filed under the name uncultured bacterium. RNAcentral describes it as "partial 16S ribosomal RNA". It matches the Rfam family "Bacterial small subunit ribosomal RNA", at positions 29 to 526 of the family's 1533-position model. The record is from RNAcentral.
AUUGAACGCUGGCGGGAGGCCUAACACAUGCAAGUCGAACGAAAGGCGGACGGGAGAGUAAUGUCUGGGAAACUGCCUGAUGGAGGGGGAUAACUACUGGAAACGGUAGCUAAUACCGCAUCCCAUCGGAUGUGCCCAGAUGGGAUGAGCUAGGAGGUGGGGUAAAGGCGCACCUAGGCGACGAUCUCUAGCUGGUCGGAGAGGAUGACCAGCCACACUGGAACUGAGCCACGGUCCAGACUCCUACGGGAGGCAGCAGUGGGGAAUAUUGCACAAUGGGCGCAAGCCUGAUGCAGCCAUGCCGCGUGUAUGAAGAAGGCCUUCGCGUUGUAAAGUACUUUCAGCGGGGAGGCGUUACCCGCAGAAGAAGCACCGGCUAACUCCGUGCCAGCAGCCGCGGUAAUUC